RNAcentral lists this ribosomal RNA (468 nucleotides) under uncultured bacterium. RNAcentral's name for it is "partial 16S ribosomal RNA". It matches the Rfam family "Bacterial small subunit ribosomal RNA", at positions 28 to 507 of the family's 1533-position model. The record is from RNAcentral.
GACGAACGCUGGCGGCGUGCUUAACACAUGCAAGUCGAACGGAAAGGCCCUGCUUUUGUGGGGUGCUCGAGUGGCGAACGGGUGAGUAACACGUGAGUAACCUGCCCUUGACUUUGGGAUAACUUCAGGAAACUGGGGCUAAUACCGGCUAGGAGCUCCUGCUGCAUGGUGGGGGUUGGAAAGUUUCGGCGGUUGGGGAUGGACUCGCGGCUUAUCAGCUUGUUGGUGGGGUAGUGGCUUACCAAGGCUUUGACGGGUAGCCGGCCUGGGAGGGUGACCGGCCACAUUGGGACUGAGAUACGGCCCAGACUCCUACGGGAGGCAGCGGUGGAGAAUAUUGCACAGUGGGCGGAAGCCUGAUGCGGCAACGCCGCGUGCGGGAUGACGGCCUUCGGGUUGUAAACCGCAUUCGCCUGUGACGAAGCGUGAGUGACGGUAAUGGGUAAAGAAGCACCGGCUAACUACGUG